This 376-nucleotide unclassified non-coding RNA is filed under the name uncultured bacterium. RNAcentral describes it as "contains 16S-23S intergenic spacer region". The record is from RNAcentral.
UCCGGUUUGACACCGGCAGUCUUCCAUGAGUCCCCAGCCGAACUGCUGGCAACAUGGAAUAGGGGUUGCGCUCGUUACGGGACUUAACCCAACAUCUCACGACACGAGCUGACGACGGCCAUGCAGCACCUGUCUUACAGUUCCCGAAGGCACCAAUCCAUCUCUGGAAAGUUCUGUAGAUGUCAAGGCCAGGUAAGGUUCUUCGCGUUGCGUCGAAUUAAACCACAUGCUCCACCGCUUGUGCGGGCCCCCGUCAAUUCCUUUGAGUUUCAUUCUUGCGAACGUACUCCCCAGGUGGUAUGCUUACCGCGUUAACUGCGUCACCGAUCCGCAAGCGGACCAACAACUAGCAUACAUCGUUUACGGCGUGGACUAC